Molecule: ribosomal RNA, 245 nt
Filed under: uncultured Geobacter sp.
Lineage: Bacteria; Pseudomonadati; Thermodesulfobacteriota; Desulfuromonadia; Geobacterales; Geobacteraceae
Description: partial 16S ribosomal RNA
Rfam family: Bacterial small subunit ribosomal RNA
Source: RNAcentral
UACGGAGGGUGCGAGCGUUGUUCGGAAUUAUUGGGCGUAAAGCGCGUGUAGGCGGCUCCUUAAGUCUGAUGUGAAAGCCCUGGGCUCAACCUGGGAAGUGCAUUGGAAACUGGGGAACUUGAAUACGGGAGAGGGUAGUGGAAUUCCUGGUGUAGGAGUGAAAUCCGUAGAUAUCAGGAGGAACACCGGUGGCGAAGGCGGCUGCCUGGACCGAUAUUGACGCUGAGACGCGAAAGCGUGGGGAG